GGCACCAUGACUCCUGUGAAGACCCAGCACUCCCUGGUAAAUCAGACGUAUGCCGUGCCCCUCAUCCAGCCAGACCUGCGGCGAGAGGAGGCCAUCCAGCAGAUGGUGGAUGCCCUGCAGUACCUGCAGAAGGUCUCUGGAGACAUCUUCAGCAGCCAGCAAAUACGUACCCAAUAGUGUUUGUGUGCAAGGCAUUGUAAGAAUCUCUAUAGAUCCAGCCAUGGAUAAGGCAGCAUCUCUGUCCAACUGCAGUGCACAUGCUGGCAGGAGAGAAAGACCUGAUAACCAAUGCAUGAUUAGUUCUUUAAUAACAGUUGUGACAAGGCCUGUUGAUAAUAUUUGGUAAUCACUGUUAUUUAUAUAGCAUUAACCAUGCACCACC
This is a long non-coding RNA of Sapajus apella (tufted capuchin), 382 nucleotides long. RefSeq lists it as uncharacterized. The transcript has 2 exons. The record is from RefSeq and is a predicted model, not a curated record. NCBI's taxonomy places the organism in Eukaryota, Metazoa, Chordata, Mammalia, Primates, Cebidae.